RNAcentral lists this ribosomal RNA (603 nucleotides) under Scedosporium boydii. RNAcentral's name for it is "eukaryotic LSU rRNA". The stretch from base 187 to 340 matches the Rfam family "5.8S ribosomal RNA". Lineage: Eukaryota; Fungi; Ascomycota; Sordariomycetes; Microascales; Microascaceae. The record is from RNAcentral.
CAGCGGAGGGAUCAUUACAGAGUUACUACUCCAAACCCAUUGUGAACCUUACCUAUGUUCUGUUGCCUCGGCGGCGUGGUCAGCGCCCCCUCUGAAAAGAGGACGAUGCCCUCCCGCCGGCAGCACCAAACUCUUUGAAUUUUACAGCGGAUUACAGUUCUGAUUUGAAAACAAAAAACAAGUUAAAACUUUCAACAACGGAUCUCUUGGUUCUGGCAUCGAUGAAGAACGCAGCGAAAUGCGAUAAGUAAUGUGAAUUGCAGAAUUCAGUGAAUCAUCGAAUCUUUGAACGCACAUUGCGCCCGGCAGUAAUCUGCCGGGCAUGCCUGUCCGAGCGUCAUUUCAACCCUCGAACCUCCGUUUCCUCAGGGAAGCUCAGGGUCGGUGUUGGGGCGCUACGGCGAGUCUUCGCGACCCUCCGUAGGCCCUGAAAUACAGUGGCGGUCCCGCCGCGGUUGCCUUCUGCGUAGUAAGUCUCUUUUGCAAGCUCGCAUUGGGUCCCGGCGGAGGCCUGCCGUCAAACCACCUAUAACUCCAGAUGGUUUGACCUCGGAUCAGGUAGGGUUACCCGCUGAACUUAAGCAUAUCAAUAAGGCGGAGGAA